RNAcentral lists this transfer RNA (70 nucleotides) under Mancinella alouina. Its description in RNAcentral is "tRNA-Thr". It matches the Rfam family "tRNA". From Rfam's summary of the family: Transfer RNA (tRNA) molecules are approximately 80 nucleotides in length. The record is from RNAcentral. Lineage: Eukaryota; Metazoa; Mollusca; Gastropoda; Neogastropoda; Muricidae.
AGCAAUAAUAGCUUAAGUAAGAGCACUGGUCUUGUAAGCCAGAGGUAAGUUUAAAAUACUUUUAUUGCUU